AGUGAACGCUGGCGGUAGGCCUAACACAUGCAAGUCGAACGGCAGCACAGUAAGAGCUUGCUCUUACGGGUGGCGAGUGGCGGACGGGUGAGGAAUACAUCGUAAUCUACUUUUCGUGGGGGAUAACGUAGGGAAACUUACGCUAAUACCGCAUACGACCUACGGGUGAAAGCAGGUGAUCUUCGGACCUUGCGCGAUUGAAUGAGCCGAUGUCGGAUUAGCUAGUUGGCGGGGUAAAGGCCCACCAAGGCGACGAUCCGUAGCUGGUCUGAGAGGAUGAUCAGCCACACUGGAACUGAGACACGGUCCAGACUCCUACGGGAGGCAGCAGUGGGGAAUAUUGGACAAUGGGCGCAAGCCUGAUCCAGCCAUACCGCGUGGGUGAAGAAGGCCUUCGGGUUGUAAAGACCUUUUGUUGGGAAAGAAAAGCAGCAGGUUAAUACCCCGCUGUUCUGACGGUACCCAAAGAAUAAGCACCGGCUAACUUCGUG
Molecule: ribosomal RNA, 491 nt
Filed under: uncultured bacterium
Lineage: Bacteria
Description: partial 16S ribosomal RNA
Rfam family: Bacterial small subunit ribosomal RNA
Source: RNAcentral